RNAcentral lists this long non-coding RNA (220 nucleotides) under Phoenix dactylifera (date palm). Its description in RNAcentral is "long non-coding RNA (PDAC_LNC015788)". Lineage: Eukaryota; Viridiplantae; Streptophyta; Magnoliopsida; Arecales; Arecaceae. The record is from RNAcentral.
GAAAAUGUAAAUGCUUUUGAAAGAAACUGAGCUUCAAAUGAAUCAUUUUCUGAUUAAUAUUUCUAUACAUUUUCUCUAAGAUUAAGAGAAAGCAUAACUUGUUCUUGAAGAAUUAGAAAGAAUAAUUGCUACAAAUUUUGAAUAAUACCAGAUUACUCUACAUUCUCGAUAUCAUAGAAAAGAAUGAUUAAAGAAGAAUGCAUCUUUUGAGGGGGAGCUU